AGUGAACGCUGGCGGUAGGCCUAACACAUGCAAGUCGAACGGCAGCACAGUAAGAGUUUGCUCUUACGGGUGGCGAGUGGCGGACGGGUGAGGAAUACAUCGGAAUCUACUUUUUCGUGGGGGAUAACGUAGGGAAACUUACGCUAAUACCGCAUACGACCUACGGGUGAAAGCAGGGGAUCUUGGGACCUUGUGCGAUUGAAUUAGCCGAUGUCGGAUUAGCUAGUUGGCGGGGUAAAGGCCCACCAAGGCGACGAUACGUAGCUGAUCUGAGAGGAUGAUCGGCCACACUGGAACUGAGACACGGUCCAGACUCCUACGGGAGGCAGCAGUAGGGAAUAUUGGGCAAUGGGCGCAAGCCUGAUCCAGCCAGACCGCGUGGGUGAAGAAGGCCUUCGGGUUGUAAAGCCCUUUUGUUGGGAAAGAAAAGCAGCAGGUUAAUACCCCGCUGUUCUGACGGUACCCAAUGAAUAAGCACCGGCUAACUUCGUG
This 492-nucleotide ribosomal RNA is filed under the name uncultured bacterium. RNAcentral's name for it is "partial 16S ribosomal RNA". It matches the Rfam family "Bacterial small subunit ribosomal RNA", at positions 29 to 507 of the family's 1533-position model. The record is from RNAcentral.